UACAAGGUUAGUGGUUGCUUCCUCAAGC
This 28-nucleotide non-coding RNA is filed under the name Mus musculus (house mouse). Lineage: Eukaryota; Metazoa; Chordata; Mammalia; Rodentia; Muridae. The record is from RNAcentral.